Molecule: transfer RNA, 74 nt
Filed under: Ministeria vibrans
Lineage: Eukaryota; Filasterea; Ministeriida; Ministeriidae
Description: tRNA-Ser
Rfam family: tRNA
About the family: Transfer RNA (tRNA) molecules are approximately 80 nucleotides in length. Their secondary structure includes four short double-helical elements and three loops (D, anti-codon, and T loops).
Source: RNAcentral
GAAAGAAUGUCUGAGAGGUCUAAGGUGUAUGCCUUGAAAGCAUAUUUUCAUUGGUUCAAAUCCAAUUUCUUUCG